Molecule: non-coding RNA, 72 nt
Organism: Phrynosoma platyrhinos (Desert horned lizard)
Lineage: Eukaryota; Metazoa; Chordata; Lepidosauria; Squamata; Phrynosomatidae
Source: the annotation of a GenBank genome assembly
GAGGGAGCGGUGUAGUGGUUUGAGCAUUGGGCUACGACUCUGGAGACCAGGGUUCGAUUCCCAGCUCGGUCA